UACGUAGGUGGCAAGCGUUAUCCGGAAUUAUUGGGCGUAAAGAGCGCGCAGGUGGUUAAUUAAGUCUGAUGUGAAAGCCCACGGCUUAACCGUGGAGGGUCAUUGGAAACUGGUUGACUUGAGUGCAGAAGAGGGAAGUGGAAUUCCAUGUGUAGCGGUGAAAUGCGUAGAGAUAUGGAGGAACACCAGUGGCGAAGGCGGCUUCCUGGUCUGUAACUGAAACUGAGGCGCGAAAGCGUGGGGAGCAAACAGG
RNAcentral lists this ribosomal RNA (253 nucleotides) under uncultured bacterium. RNAcentral's name for it is "partial 16S ribosomal RNA". It matches the Rfam family "Bacterial small subunit ribosomal RNA", at positions 524 to 776 of the family's 1533-position model. The record is from RNAcentral.